GAAUGUGAGGGUGAUCUGGCUGCAACAUCUGUCACCCCAUUGAUUGCCAGGGUUUAGAUCAGAUUUGGCUGAUCUAGCUGACUAGGCUAGGCGGGUGUCCCCUCCCUCCCUCACCGCUCCAUGUAUGCCCCUCCCAAAGCUGCACACUCGGUCGGUUGAAGAGGAUGACCUUCCCCAGUAGAGGAGGACCGUUCUUCAUUCUUUGGUCAAGGGUAUACAAGUAGCUGCACUCCCCUGCUAGAACCUCCAAACAAGCUCUCAAAAAUCAGUUGUGUUUUUAUACAUUAACAACAAACUUUCCACAAGUAAAAUUAAGAAAACAAUUACAUUU
RNAcentral lists this small nuclear RNA (331 nucleotides) under Microcebus murinus (gray mouse lemur). RNAcentral describes it as "7SK RNA (ENSMICG00000034894.2)". It matches the Rfam family "7SK RNA". From Rfam's summary of the family: 7SK was discovered as an abundant small nuclear RNA in the mid-70s but a possible function has only recently been suggested. Two independent studies have found that 7SK RNA binds the CDK9/cyclin T complex (known as elongation factor P-TEFb). Lineage: Eukaryota; Metazoa; Chordata; Mammalia; Primates; Cheirogaleidae. The record is from Rfam by way of RNAcentral.